Molecule: ribosomal RNA, 468 nt
Filed under: uncultured bacterium
Lineage: Bacteria
Description: bacterial SSU rRNA
Rfam family: Bacterial small subunit ribosomal RNA
Source: RNAcentral
GCAAGUCGAGGGGCAGCACAAGGAGCAAUCUGAGGUGGCGACCGGCGCACGGGUGAGUAACACGUAUGCAACCUGCCUGUAAGCGGGGAAUAACCCGUUGAAAGACGGACUAAUACCGCAUAAUACUAAAUUACUGCAUGGUAAUUUAUUUAAACAUUUAUGGCUUACAGAUGGGCAUGCGCAUGAUUAGCUAGUUGGAGAGGUAACGGCUCCCCAAGGCAACGAUCAUUAGGGGUUCUGAGAGGAAGGUCCCCCCACACUGGUACUGAGACACGGACCAGACUCCUACGGGAGGCAGCAGUGAGGAAUAUUGGUCAAUGGACGAGAGUCUGAACCAGCCAAGUCGCGUGCAGGAAGAAUUGUCCUAUGGAUUGUAAACUGCUUUUGCAGGGGAAUAAAGUGCAUCACGUGUGAUGUUUUGUAUGUACUCUGCGAAUAAGGAUCGGCUAACUCCGUGCCAGCCGCCGC